RNAcentral lists this ribosomal RNA (483 nucleotides) under uncultured bacterium. RNAcentral's name for it is "partial 16S ribosomal RNA". It matches the Rfam family "Bacterial small subunit ribosomal RNA", at positions 28 to 507 of the family's 1533-position model. The record is from RNAcentral.
GACGAACGCUGGCGGCGUGCUUAACACAUGCAAGUCGAACGCUGAAGCUCAGCUUUUGUUGGGUGGAUGAGUGGCGAACGGGUGAGUAACACGUGAGUAACCUGCCUCCUUCUUUGGGAUAACGCCCGGAAACGGGUGCUAAUACUGGAUAUGCACUGGUCUUCGCAUGGGGGUGGGUGGAAAGGGUUUUUCUGGUGGGGGAUGGGCUCGCGGCCUAUCAGCUUGUUGGUGGGGUGAUGGCCUACCAAGGCUUUGACGGGUAGCCGGCCUGAGAGGGUGACCGGGCACAUUGGGACUGAGAUACGGCCCAGACUACUACGGGAGGCAGCAGUGGGGAAUAUUGCACGAUGGGCGCAAGCCUGAUGCAGCGCCGCCGCGUGAGGGAUGGAGGCCUUCGGGUUGUGAACCUCUUUCGCUCAUGGUCAAGCCGCAACAAUGGUUGUGGUGAGGGUAGUGGGUAAAGAAGCGCCGGCUAACUACGUG